AAAACGACUCUCGGCAACGGAUAUCUCGGCUCUCGCAUCGAUGAAGAACGUAGCGAGCUGCGAUACUUGGUGUGAAUUGCAGAAUCCCGUGAACCAUCGAGUCUUUGAACGCAAGUUGCGCCCGAAGCCAUUAGGCCGAGGGCACGUCUGCCUGGGCGUCACGC
RNAcentral lists this ribosomal RNA (164 nucleotides) under Gentiana dahurica. RNAcentral's name for it is "5.8S ribosomal RNA". It matches the Rfam family "5.8S ribosomal RNA". From Rfam's summary of the family: 5.8S ribosomal RNA (5.8S rRNA) is a component of the large subunit of the eukaryotic ribosome. It is transcribed by RNA polymerase I as part of the 45S precursor that also contains 18S and 28S rRNA. RNAcentral also lists the same sequence under 1 other name. Lineage: Eukaryota; Viridiplantae; Streptophyta; Magnoliopsida; Gentianales; Gentianaceae. The record is from RNAcentral.